This 773-nucleotide ribosomal RNA is filed under the name Corynebacterium variabile. RNAcentral's name for it is "partial 16S ribosomal RNA". It matches the Rfam family "Bacterial small subunit ribosomal RNA", at positions 61 to 848 of the family's 1533-position model. The record is from RNAcentral. Lineage: Bacteria; Bacillati; Actinomycetota; Actinomycetes; Mycobacteriales; Corynebacteriaceae.
GUCGAACGGAAAGGCCCUGCUUGCAGGGUACUCGAGUGGCGAACGGGUGAGUAACACGUGGGUGAUCUGCCCUGCACUUCGGGAUAAGCCUGGGAAACUGGGUCUAAUACCGGAUAGGACCAUCGUUUAGUGUCGGUGGUGGAAAGUUUUUCGGUGCAGGAUGAGCUCGCGGCCUAUCAGCUUGUUGGUGGGGUAAUGGCCUACCAAGGCGUCGACGGGUAGCCGGCCUGAGAGGGUGGACGGCCACAUUGGGACUGAGACACGGCCCAGACUCCUACGGGAGGCAGCAGUGGGGAAUAUUGCACAAUGGGCGCAAGCCUGAUGCAGCGACGCCGCGUGGGGGAUGAAGGCCUUCGGGUUGUAAACUCCUUUCAACCAUGACGAAGCAUUAUGKGACGGUAGKGGUARAARAAGCACCGGYUAACUACGKGCCAGCAGCCGCGGUAAUACGUAGGGKGCGAGCGUUGUCCGGAAUUACUGGGCGUAAAGAGCUCGWAGGKGGUUUGUCGCGYCGUCKGUGAAAUUCCGGGGYUUAMYUCCGGGCGKGCAGGCRAUACGGGCWUAACUUGAGKGYUGUAGGGRAGAYUGGAAUUCCUGGUGUAGCGGUGAAAUGCGCARAUAUCAGGAGRAACACCAAUGGCGAAGGCAGGUCUCUGGGCAGUAACUGACGCURAGGASCGAAAGCAUGGGUAGCRAACAGGAUUAGAUACCCUGGUAGUCCAUGCCGUAAACGGUGGGCGCUAGGUGUGGGGGUCUUCCACACUUCUGUGCCG